UCCUGGAUGGCCGGCUCCUGCUUC
RNAcentral lists this non-coding RNA (24 nucleotides) under Mus musculus (house mouse). Lineage: Eukaryota; Metazoa; Chordata; Mammalia; Rodentia; Muridae. The record is from RNAcentral.